This 404-nucleotide ribosomal RNA is filed under the name uncultured eukaryote. RNAcentral describes it as "partial 23S ribosomal RNA". It matches the Rfam family "Bacterial large subunit ribosomal RNA", at positions 2078 to 2483 of the family's 2925-position model. The record is from RNAcentral.
UGGACAGAAAGACCCUAUGAAGCUUUACUAUAAUUUGAUAUUGAUUUUAAAUUAUUGUUGUGUAGUCUAAGUGGGAAGUUAAUAUAAAUUUUUUUUAAUUCUAACUAUAAAUUGAAAAACCACUCUUCUUUAAUUUAAAUUCUUAAAGCUAUUUUUGAAUCAAAAAGCUUGACAGUAUCUGAUGGGUAGUUUGACUGGGGCGGUCACCUCCUAAAAAGUAACGGAGGUGUACAAAGGUUUUCUCAAACAGGACAGAAAUCUGUUUUUGAGCAUAAAGGUAAAAGAAAGCUUGACUGUAAGAAUUACAAUUCAAGCAGGGGCGAAAGCCGGUCUUAGUGAUCCGACGAUUCUAUGUGGAAAGGUCGUCGCUCAACGAAUAAAAGUUACUCUAGGGAUAACAGGCU